Molecule: ribosomal RNA, 2904 nt
Filed under: Escherichia coli
Lineage: Bacteria; Pseudomonadati; Pseudomonadota; Gammaproteobacteria; Enterobacterales; Enterobacteriaceae
Description: 23S ribosomal RNA
Rfam family: Bacterial large subunit ribosomal RNA
Source: RNAcentral
GGUUAAGCGACUAAGCGUACACGGUGGAUGCCCUGGCAGUCAGAGGCGAUGAAGGACGUGCUAAUCUGCGAUAAGCGUCGGUGAGGUGAUAUGAACCGUUAUAACCGGCGAUUUCCGAAUGGGGAAACCCAGUGUGUUUCGACACACUAUCAUUAACUGAAUCCAUAGGUUAAUGAGGCGAACCGGGGGAACUGAAACAUCUAAGUACCCCGAGGAAAAGAAAUCAACCGAGAUUCCCCCAGUAGCGGCGAGCGAACGGGGAGGAGCCCAGAGCCUGAAUCAGUGUGUGUGUUAGUGGAAGCGUCUGGAAAGGCGCGCGAUACAGGGUGACAGCCCCGUACACAAAAAUGCACAUAUUGUGAGCUCGAUGAGUAGGGCGGGACACGUGGUAUCCUGUCUGAAUAUGGGGGGACCAUCCUCCAAGGCUAAAUACUCCUGACUGACCGAUAGUGAACCAGUACCGUGAGGGAAAGGCGAAAAGAACCCCGGCGAGGGGAGUGAAAAAGAACCUGAAACCGUGUACGUACAAGCAGUGGGAGCCUCUUUAUGGGGUGACUGCGUACCUUUUGUAUAAUGGGUCAGCGACUUAUAUUCUGUAGCAAGGUUAACCGAAUAGGGGAGCCGAAGGGAAACCGAGUCUUAACUGGGCGUUAAGUUGCAGGGUAUAGACCCGAAACCCGGUGAUCUAGCCAUGGGCAGGUUGAAGGUUGGGUAACACUAACUGGAGGACCGAACCGACUAAUGUUGAAAAAUUAGCGGAUGACUUGUGGCUGGGGGUGAAAGGCCAAUCAAACCGGGAGAUAGCUGGUUCUCCCCGAAAGCUAUUUAGGUAGCGCCUCGUGAAUUCAUCUCCGGGGGUAGAGCACUGUUUCGGCAAGGGGGUCAUCCCGACUUACCAACCCGAUGCAAACUGCGAAUACCGGAGAAUGUUAUCACGGGAGACACACGGCGGGUGCUAACGUCCGUCGUGAAGAGGGAAACAACCCAGACCGCCAGCUAAGGUCCCAAAGUCAUGGUUAAGUGGGAAACGAUGUGGGAAGGCCCAGACAGCCAGGAUGUUGGCUUAGAAGCAGCCAUCAUUUAAAGAAAGCGUAAUAGCUCACUGGUCGAGUCGGCCUGCGCGGAAGAUGUAACGGGGCUAAACCAUGCACCGAAGCUGCGGCAGCGACACUAUGUGUUGUUGGGUAGGGGAGCGUUCUGUAAGCCUGUGAAGGUGGCCUGUGAGGGUUGCUGGAGGUAUCAGAAGUGCGAAUGCUGACAUAAGUAACGAUAAAGCGGGUGAAAAGCCCGCUCGCCGGAAGACCAAGGGUUCCUGUCCAACGUUAAUCGGGGCAGGGUGAGUCGACCCCUAAGGCGAGGCCGAAAGGCGUAGUCGAUGGGAAACAGGUUAAUAUUCCUGUACUUGGUGUUACUGCGAAGGGGGGACGGAGAAGGCUAUGUUGGCCGGGCGACGGUUGUCCCGGUUUAAGCGUGUAGGCUGGUUUUCCAGGCAAAUCCGGAAAACCAAGGCUGAGGCGUGAUGACGAGGCACUACGGUGCUGAAGCGACAAAUGCCCUGCUUCCAGGAAAAGCCUCUAAGCAUCAGGUAACAUCAAAUCGUACCCCAAACCGACACAGGUGGUCAGGUAGAGAAUACCAAGGCGCUUGAGAGAACUCGGGUGAAGGAACUAGGCAAAAUGGUGCCGUAACUUCGGGAGAAGGCACGCUGAUAUGUAGGUGAAGCGACUUGCUCGUGGAGCUGAAAUCAGUCGAAGAUACCAGCUGGCUGCAACUGUUUAUUAAAAACACAGCACUGUGCAAACACGAAAGUGGACGUAUACGGUGUGACGCCUGCCCGGUGCCGGAAGGUUAAUUGAUGGGGUUAGCGGUAACGCGAAGCUCUUGAUCGAAGCCCCGGUAAACGGCGGCCGUAACUAUAACGGUCCUAAGGUAGCGAAAUUCCUUGUCGGGUAAGUUCCGACCUGCACGAAUGGCGUAAUGAUGGCCAGGCUGUCUCCACCCGAGACUCAGUGAAAUUGAAUUCGCUGUGAAGAUGCAGUGUACCCGCGGCAAGACGGAAAGACCCCGUGAACCUUUACUAUAGCUUGACACUGAACAUUGAGCCUUGAUGUGUAGGAUAGGUGGGAGGCUUUGAAGUGUGGACGCCAGUCUGCAUGGAGCCGACCUUGAAAUACCACCCUUUAAUGUUUGAUGUUCUAACGUUGGCCCGUAAUCCGGGUUGCGGACAGUGUCUGGUGGGUAGUUUGACUGGGGCGGUCUCCUCCUAAAGAGUAACGGAGGAGCACGAAGGUUGGCUAAUCCUGGUCGGACAUCAGGAGGUUAGUGCAAUGGCAUAAGCCAGCUUGACUGCGAGCGUGACGGCGCGAGCAGGUGCGAAAGCAGGUCAUAGUGAUCCGGUGGUUCUGAAUGGAAGGGCCAUCGCUCAACGGAUAAAAGGUACUCCGGGGAUAACAGGCUGAUACCGCCCAAGAGUUCAUAUCGACGGCGGUGUUUGGCACCUCGAUGUCGGCUCAUCACAUCCUGGGGCUGAAGUAGGUCCCAAGGGUAUGGCUGUUCGCCAUUUAAAGUGGUACGCGAGCUGGGUUUAGAACGUCGUGAGACAGUUCGGUCCCUAUCUGCCGUGGGCGCUGGAGAACUGAGGGGGGCUGCUCCUAGUACGAGAGGACCGGAGUGGACGCAUCACUGGUGUUCGGGUUGUCAUGCCAAUGGCACUGCCCGGUAGCUAAAUGCGGAAGAGAUAAGUGCUGAAAGCAUCUAAGCACGAAACUUGCCCCGAGAUGAGUUCUCCCUGACUCCUUGAGAGUCCUGAAGGAACGUUGAAGACGACGACGUUGAUAGGCCGGGUGUGUAAGCGCAGCGAUGCGUUGAGCUAACCGGUACUAAUGAACCGUGAGGCUUAACCUU